This is a long non-coding RNA of Arachis duranensis, 458 nucleotides long. RefSeq lists it as uncharacterized. The transcript is spliced from 3 exons. The record is from RefSeq and is a predicted model, not a curated record. Lineage: Eukaryota; Viridiplantae; Streptophyta; Magnoliopsida; Fabales; Fabaceae.
GCUAUUGAAGAUAAUGUAGCUACUAACUUGGCAAGGGAUAUGUUUGAAUGAAAGUUUGUACAAAAUUUUACCAAAGAUUUCAUAUGGAAAGACAACCACUAAUAAUAAUUAGUAGAGGCAGAGCUUUGUACUGAAGUUGGAAUUGUUACCAGAGAUAUACUCGAUAGCUCAUGGACCAUGACUAUCACUAUCAGUCGCCAUGCCCAAAAAGAAAAAGGCAUAAAUUACAGGCUUGUGGAUGGUGCUAAUUCUAUGCUACUGUUUUUAUAUAUUAGAUGGUGCUACUUCUAUGCUACUGAUUUUAUUUUGAGGCUUUUAUGUAAUUAGAUGAUAUUGAAAUAUUAAAGUUGUAUUAUUUUACUUUUUAAAGAAAAACAAUAAUAGUUAUGUAGAACAAUAUUAUAUGGAAUUGUGUUUGGAACUAUUGACAUUGAGAAUAUUUUUAUAUAUAGAGUUAU